Molecule: ribosomal RNA, 531 nt
Filed under: Streptomyces thermosacchari
Lineage: Bacteria; Bacillati; Actinomycetota; Actinomycetes; Kitasatosporales; Streptomycetaceae
Description: bacterial SSU rRNA
Rfam family: Bacterial small subunit ribosomal RNA
Source: RNAcentral
UCCUACGGGAAGGCAGCAGUGGGGAAUAUUGCACAAUGGGCGAAAGCCUGAUGCAGCGACGCCGCGUGAGGGAUGACGGCCUUCGGGUUGUAAACCUCUUUCAGCAGGGAAGAAGCGAGAGUGACGGUACCUGCAGAAGAAGCGCCGGCUAACUACGUGCCAGCAGCCGCGGUAAUACGUAGGGCGCAAGCGUUGUCCGGAAUUAUUGGGCGUAAAGAGCUCGUAGGCGGCUUGUCGCGUCGGUUGUGAAAGCCCGGGGCUUAACCCCGGGUCUGCAGUCGAUACGGGCAGGCUAGAGUUCGGUAGGGGAGAUCGGAAUUCCUGGUGUAGCGGUGAAAUGCGCAGAUAUCAGGAGGAACACCGGUGGCGAAGGCGGAUCUCUGGGCCGAUACUGACGCUGAGGAGCGAAAGCGUGGGGAGCGAACAGGAUUAGAUACCCUGGUAGUCCACGCCGUAAACGGUGGGCACUAGGUGUGGGCAACAUUCCACGUUGUCCGUGCCGCAGCUAACGCAUAAGUGCCCCUCCUGGGA